This is a long non-coding RNA of Ictalurus punctatus (channel catfish), 445 nucleotides long. Lineage: Eukaryota; Metazoa; Chordata; Actinopteri; Siluriformes; Ictaluridae. The record is from Ensembl.
GACUGUUCCACCUCCUGCAGGAUGCUGCUGCUCUUCUGGUUCUGCUCCACAAAUACGAACUCGAGCUGCGUUCACCGAAACUACACAACCUACACAACUUACUGCAGACAUCCGGCAGCGAGAACACACAGAUUAACGUCUCUGUAACUGUAAGUCACUCAUCUAAAUACAGCUCACUCAGAAUGGACGUGUAAAUGCAGCGGUUUGUUUCUGUAAGGUGUAAAAUCCUGGAGUAGAAGAGAGAGGUGGAAAGUGUAAAAUCCUGGAGUAGAAGAGAGAGGUGGAAAGUGUAAAGUCCUGGAGUUCCGGUCCCUUUACACCUUCCUGAAGGUUUUGUGGAAUCCAUACGCCAUCAGAGACGCACAACUACCACAAACUCUUCCCUCUGAAAAAGGAACGUAGUGCAUCUGAUGAUGGUCAGUAAACUGUUUCUUCUCGUUCUCAG